UACGUAGGCAGCAAGCGUUGUUCGGAGUUACUGGGCGUAAAGGGUGCGUAGGCGGCUUUUUAAGUUUGGUGUGAAAUCUCCCGGCUCAACUGGGAGGGUGCGCCGAAUACUGAGAGGCUAGAGUGUGGGAGAGGAAAGUGGAAUUCCUGGUGUAGCGGUGAAAUGCGUAGAUAUCAGGAGGAACACCGGUGGUGUAAACGGCUUUCUGGACCAUAACUGACGCUGAGGCACGAAAGUGUGGGUAGCAAACAGG
Molecule: ribosomal RNA, 253 nt
Filed under: uncultured bacterium
Lineage: Bacteria
Description: partial 16S ribosomal RNA
Rfam family: Bacterial small subunit ribosomal RNA
Source: RNAcentral